GACCCCUGUCUGGGCAGUGGGCAAAUAGGCACCUUAUUGGUGGUGGCGCUCUCACUUCAGUCAGGGGCCGAGAAGACGCUGUCCUUUGUUCGUCCUGGCGUGAUGUCUGGCUUGGUGGCCAAAGCUGUCUUAUGCCUAGGACUCCUAA
Meriones unguiculatus (Mongolian gerbil) is the source of this 148-nucleotide small nucleolar RNA. RefSeq annotates it as small nucleolar RNA SNORA48. Lineage: Eukaryota; Metazoa; Chordata; Mammalia; Rodentia; Muridae. The transcript has a single exon. The record is from RefSeq and is a predicted model, not a curated record.